RNAcentral lists this ribosomal RNA (256 nucleotides) under uncultured bacterium. RNAcentral describes it as "partial 16S ribosomal RNA". It matches the Rfam family "Bacterial small subunit ribosomal RNA", at positions 524 to 777 of the family's 1533-position model. The record is from RNAcentral.
UACGAAGGGGGCUAGCGUUGUUCGGAAUUACUGGGCGUAAAGCGCACGUAGGCGGAUACUUAAGUCAGGGGUGAAAUCCUGGAGCUCAACUCCAGAACUGCCUUUGAUACUGAGGAUCUUGAGUUCGGGAGAGGUGAGUGGAACUGCGAGUGUAGAGGUGAAAAUUCGUAGAUAUUCGCAAGAACACCAGUGGCGAAGGCGGCUCACUGGCCCGAUACUGACGCUGAGGCACGAAAGCGUGGGGAAGCAAACAGGG